AUUGAACGCUGGCGGCAUGCUUUACACAUGCAAGUCGAACGGUAACAGGUUAAGCUGACGAGUGGCGAACGGGUGAGUAAUGCAUCGGAACGUGCCCGGUCGUGGGGGAUAACGCAGCGAAAGCUGCGCUAAUACCGCAUACGAUCUGAGGAUGAAAGCGGGGGACCGUAAGGCCUCGCGCGAUCGGAGCGGCCGAUGUCAGAUUAGGUAGUUGGUGGGGUAAAGGCUCACCAAGCCGACGAUCUGUAGCUGGUCUGAGAGGACGACCAGCCACACUGGGACUGAGACACGGCCCAGACUCCUACGGGAGGCAGCAGUGGGGAAUUUUGGACAAUGGGCGCAAGCCUGAUCCAGCAAUGCCGCGUGCAGGAAGAAGGCCUUCGGGUUGUAAACUGCUUUUGCACGGAGCGAAAAGGCUCUCUCUAAUACGGAGGGCUCAUGACGGUACCGUAAGAAUAAGCACCGGCUAACUACGUGCCAGCCGCCGCGGUAA
This 493-nucleotide ribosomal RNA is filed under the name uncultured bacterium. Its description in RNAcentral is "partial 16S ribosomal RNA". It matches the Rfam family "Bacterial small subunit ribosomal RNA", at positions 29 to 523 of the family's 1533-position model. The record is from RNAcentral.